This 586-nucleotide long non-coding RNA is filed under the name Pan troglodytes (chimpanzee). Its description in RNAcentral is "lncRNA (ENSPTRG00000053190.1)". Lineage: Eukaryota; Metazoa; Chordata; Mammalia; Primates; Hominidae. The record is from RNAcentral.
GUUCAACAGCCAUCUGAAGCCCACCUGCGAGCUGGUCCAGGAAAUGAUGGACUCUGAUUUCCACACCUCUUUCCUGUGAACUUGUCUCCAAUUUAGUCUGUCAAGGUCCCUUUCUUGUGAGUUAAUUUCUCCCUAGUGCUACUUCUCAGAUUGGCCAGUGACUCACAGAGUGGCACAAGUACAAAUCCAGCCUGACUUGCAUCCAACUCAGAUUCCAGGACCACUGAAACCAGCUGAGGCAUCCUGAAAGCCUAAGAUUGACCACACCAGAGGAACCAGACUGCCAUUCACAAGGAUGGAAAUUAUCUGGUCCCACCCCUGGAUAUGAUCAACCUUCAUAGACUGUGCAUUAUACAUGUAGCCAUCUCUGCGACCUGCAAAGAUGAAAAGGGAAAGCAGGAGAUGGAAACUGGUCAGCAGCCUUCUGGUUUAUCAGCCACACUUACAAAGGUCAAAUGUGCAAAGCGUCAGAAGACAGUGGUUAGAGUGAGAUUCUACAUGCUCUCAAUGAAGAAUAAAGGUAAGUUCAAUAUUUCAUGAAACAAAAAGUUUUUUAAGUUAUUAUAAAGGAAUGUUUCCAUAGCUA